AUUUUGUAAUCUGAAAGGUGUACAAACCUUAUCAUUUCCUUCUUUUAAAAAUUGUCCCGUGUGCCCUCAAAUCCCUCACAUUCACUCAUUUUCCCCCAAAACCCUCACAACCAAUUAGAACCUCUCCUUACACCUAUCCCCCAAUUAGAAAUUGCUCCCUCACUCUCUCUCUCUAUUCUCCUUCUCUCUCUCUCCCACACCCGUGACUCUCUCCCCUUUGUAAUACACACACACCAUCAUCAAAACUUGUAGAUUGAACUAAAAAACACCAUAAAUGUACUCCUCUCAAACCCACGAACCCAACCGUACUAGCCGAUGGUGAAAUGACCGAGUUUUGACUCGCCAACUCAGAAGCUCCAACUCAGUGAGUUUUCCUAUGACGAGUUUCAAGUCGAGUUACAAGGUUUUAAGACGUAGGGAAGCUUCUACACAACUCCCUAGGGUCCCUAGACUAGGUUUGGAGUCGAGUUGAUGUCGAAACAAGCGAGUUCGAGGAGUCAAGUUUUAGGCCGAGACUUUUGAUGCAUUUUCAGGCCAUUUCCCUUCCAUUUUUAGACUUUUGAAAGUUUCCGGCGAAAAUUUCUAGUUUCCUACGAAACCAGACAGCAGCGACCGGCAGAAGCUCACCAGACAAGACGAAGAAUAUUUCGUCAAAGUUAACGGAAUAUUCUAAUGGCGUCAGGUGCGUGGCCUGUGUGUGGGAGCGUGUUUGGUCGUGGGCUAGGCUGCACGUGAGGGCGCAUCUGGGCUCUGGACGGCGAGUGCUUGACAUGUAUGGGUCCAUGACUUUGUGUAGAUCAUUUUCGUAUAUUCAAACCUUCCGUUUGAGUAAAGUAUGAGAGAUUUACCUAACCUUUUUUAAUAUGUCUUAUUUAAUUUAUUAGUUUAGUUAUUUCACAUAUAGGUGAAAAUUAUCCUGAGAACGUACGAGGUCAAGCGAGGUUAGGAGGUUACGAUCUAACCACGUACUAGUGAGUAGGCAUUUUGUUUUCACAUAUAUAAACCUUAUAGUUUCCACAAAUGCUUUUGAAUUGAUUUAUGCAUAUCAUGCCACUGUUGCUUUUAGAUUGAUAUUACGCCUAUUAUGCCAUGAUUAAAGAUGAUAUAAGAAAUGUUAUAAUGCUAUGGAACGCUAAAAUAAUCCUACAGGAUACACAUGUAAGUUUGCAUUGUUGACUAGAAUUAUUUAAUGGGUAUGGCAUGUUUAUACUUAUGUAGUCUGCUCAUCAUUGAUGCACUCCGGUGUUAGUGCUAACCCAGGGCCAGGGCUAGUCUUUCACGUGUUUGUUCAUCUCUACACCGCACGCUCGCCUUGGAUCCAAGUAGUAUCAGUCCUGUUGUACAGGUUGCAUUAGGCAACUCCGACUCAUAGGUGACUGCGAUUAUUGCUAGUCUUCAUGUGAUUGUAGCACUAUAGUGUACUUAUACAUUACGCCACAUUCUUGUUCAUAUCAAAAACUAUCUGCAUGAACUUGUGUGCUAGCAUAGAUUGAUGAGCAACUUGUUUUCAUUAUGCUAUUGUUGAGAUAUUGUAAUUUGGCUUAUUUCCGACA
This is a long non-coding RNA of Malus domestica (apple), 1553 nucleotides long. RefSeq lists it as uncharacterized. Lineage: Eukaryota; Viridiplantae; Streptophyta; Magnoliopsida; Rosales; Rosaceae. The record is from RefSeq and is a predicted model, not a curated record.